Molecule: ribosomal RNA, 773 nt
Filed under: uncultured Neocallimastigales
Lineage: Eukaryota; Fungi; Neocallimastigomycota; Neocallimastigomycetes; Neocallimastigales
Description: partial large subunit ribosomal RNA
Rfam family: Eukaryotic large subunit ribosomal RNA
Source: RNAcentral
CGUCUAUAUACGUAUAGCAUAUCAAUAAGCGGAGGAAAAGAAACUAACUAGGAUUCCCUCAGUAACGGCGAGUGAAGCGGGAAGAGCUCAAAUUUGAAAUCUUCAAGGUUUUACCUUGACGAAUUGUAGUUUAAAGAAGUGUUUUCUGUUGGAAUUUUGGUAAAAGUUCUUUGGAAAAAGACAUCAAAGAGGGUGAGAAUCCCGUAUUUGACCAUUAUUUCCAGCUUUGUGAUACACUUUCAAAGAGUCGGAUUGUUUGGGAAUGCAGUCCAAAAUGGGUGGUAAAUUUCAUCUAAAGCUAAAUACUGGCGAGAGACCGAUAGCGAACAAGUACCGUGAGGGAAAGAUGAAAAGAACUUUGAAAAGAGAGUUAAACAGUACGUGAAAUUGUCAAAAGGGAAGCGUUUGACACCAGUGUUGUUUUCUCGAAAAUCAAUUAAAAAUGGCGGGAUUUUGUGUUGUAUUGACUUUAUCAGCUUUCUGCACUUUUUUCCUAUCUUUUUUAAUGCACUUUUCGUUUAACAAGUCAACAUCAAUUUCUUUUGUUGUAAAAGGGUCAUUGGAAGGUGGCUUUCUUUUCGGAGAAAGUGUUUAUAGCCUUUGGCUUCUGCAAUCGGAGAGAUUGAGGUCUGCAGCGUAGAUCCUUCGGGGUUAGAUACAUUUGUGCUAAGUUAUAGCCUUUCAUAGACAACUUGUUGACUAUGAUCAGUCAUGUAGCUUACUCGCUUAUGCUAUUUUACCUACGCUUAGGAUGUUGACGAUCAGCGAGCGCG